Triticum aestivum (bread wheat) is the source of this 115-nucleotide non-coding RNA. Lineage: Eukaryota; Viridiplantae; Streptophyta; Magnoliopsida; Poales; Poaceae. The record is from Rfam.
AAAGUACUCCCUCCGUUCGGAAUUACUUGUCUCGGAAAUGGAUGUAUCUAGAACUAAAAUACAUCUAGAUACAUCCAUUUCUACGGCAAGUAAUUCCGAACGGAGGGAGUAGUUG